Long non-coding RNA from Bufo bufo (common toad), 1358 nucleotides. RefSeq lists it as uncharacterized. The record is from RefSeq and is a predicted model, not a curated record. The transcript is spliced from 3 exons. Lineage: Eukaryota; Metazoa; Chordata; Amphibia; Anura; Bufonidae.
CGGAGCCCCUCAUGCACCACGUCACGGUUUCUCAGCUUUGAACAUCGGCCUGAGGAAUUAGCUAGUAUUGUCAGUUGCGUAUCAUUUUGGUGCAUCUUUUGCAGUGAUUUUUUAGUAAACUUGGAAUUAUUCUAACAUGGUCAUUAUUUACCUGGCAUUGGCCAGUGCAGUAGGAUCCUGUAAAUAUCAUAAUUACUGCAAGAUAAGAGGACAUCAGAUUUACUUCAAGAUUACUCCAGGACAACUGGACUGCGUGUCCUUCUGUCAAACAGUAAUCAUGAACUCUUCCAGGAAGUAUAGUUCUUGAAUAUGAACAAGCUGAACAGGACAGCAUAAAAUAAACUUCAGGAUCAUAAUCACUCCAAGACAGGAGUAUGCUUCGUGGUUACUCCAGUACAGUGGACAUACUACAUAGAUUAUGAUUACACCUGGACAAGAGAGUAUGAGGUAAAGUUAUUGGUUAUAAUCAUAAUAGACAGGAGAGCACUUGGAAACUUCAAGAUCCUAAUUUCUGCAAGACUAGAGGGCAUCAAAAAUGAUUCAAGGUUACACUUGGACAGCUGAACAUCAAGGAUAGUUUACGACUACUAAUGGGUGGGAAAACAGAGUAUAAUUCUCUUUUAUGAUCACAGUGGACAGGAGGACAUCAGGAAUACAUCAUAAUUACUCCAGGGUGGUGGGACAUCAAGUAGAGUUCAUGACUACUCUUGGACAGAGGAACUUUCAUGAUCAUAAUUACUGCAAGACAAGAGGACACUGAUAUACCUCAUGGUACCUCCAGGUUAGUGAGGCAUUAUGAAUGCACACAAUUGCUCCUGGAGAGGGUAGUAAGUAGCAUAGAGCUCAGUUGUGAUCACACUGGGCAGAAGAGCACUGAGUAAACUUCAUAGUCAUGACAGGUUGACAAGUAUAUUUCAUGGUUACUCCAGGACAUCAUGGAUAUGUCAUGAUUACUCUUGUGCAGAUUACAGCAAGUUGUUUCAAAAGGUUGUCAGACAAUUAAAAAAAAAAACAUUUUUCUUCCCAUCAACAGCACCACUUGUUUGCAUCUGAUAGUGUAGCUCACGUCCAUGGGGUGAGGUUUAUGGGAAAAGUUAAAACCCUUUUCUCUAAUCACAGACAAGUUCUUUAAGAAACACAAUAACUGUGCUAAAGGUUUUUGCCACAGGUACUGAAGGCAGGGGUGGAAAUUAAAGGAAAAAACUACAGAUGGAAAACUACAGAUUUUCGAUAUGCUUUUACUGUAGAGGCGAUCUCUAUAUUGCCAAUAUAAAAGAAAAUAAUAUAUUCGGUUCUUAUAUUUCUACUUUGCUGCUGAAGGGCAGAGGUAUACAGAAAUAUGAGUCCGUAUCGCCCAG